RNAcentral lists this unclassified non-coding RNA (295 nucleotides) under Ambisporaceae sp. RNAcentral's name for it is "partial internal transcribed spacer 2". The stretch from base 1 to 71 matches the Rfam family "5.8S ribosomal RNA", at positions 84 to 154 of the family's 154-position model. Lineage: Eukaryota; Fungi; Glomeromycota; Glomeromycetes; Archaeosporales; Ambisporaceae. The record is from RNAcentral.
GUGAAUCAUCGAAUCUUUGAACGCAUAUUGCACUCUCUGGGAUGCCUGUGAGUGUUUCUGUGUGAGGGUAAUUAAAAGGGUCUUUAUCCAAUUUUUGUUGGUCAAAGGAAAUGAGCUCUCCGCGUUUAUAGCGGUAGCUUGAAAUAAAUGGUCAAGUCUCAUUUUGGUCGAGACGCGUAAUAAUAUUAUUUCGCUAAAUCUUCAUUAUGUGACUAGCAAUUUUUUAUGCAUACCAAUUGGCUUUGUAUGCGAUCAAUACAAAUAUUUUAAACAUUACCUCAAAUCAGGUAGGACU